CCGCUGGCGGCGUGCUACACAUGCAGUCGAACGAGAAAGGGGCUUCGGCCCUGAGUAAGUGGCGCACGGGUGAGUAACACGUAGGUAACCUGCCUCUGAGAUUGGGAUAACUCGUCGAAAGAUGGGCUAAUACCAAAUAAGACCACGAAUUCUUUGGGAUCUGAGGUCAAAGGUAGCCUCUAUUUAUAAGCUAUCGCUUAGAGAUGGGCCUGCGCACCAUUAGCUAGUUGGUAGGGUAACGGCCUACCAAGGCAAAGAUGGUUAGCUGGUCUGAGAGGAUGAUCAGCCACACUGGAACUGAGACACGGUCCAGACUCCUACGGGAGGCAGCAGUGGGGAAUAUUGCGCAAUGG
This 353-nucleotide ribosomal RNA is filed under the name uncultured soil bacterium. RNAcentral describes it as "bacterial SSU rRNA". It matches the Rfam family "Bacterial small subunit ribosomal RNA", at positions 34 to 374 of the family's 1533-position model. The record is from RNAcentral.